RNAcentral lists this ribosomal RNA (482 nucleotides) under uncultured bacterium. RNAcentral's name for it is "partial 16S ribosomal RNA". It matches the Rfam family "Bacterial small subunit ribosomal RNA", at positions 30 to 507 of the family's 1533-position model. The record is from RNAcentral.
AUUGAACGCUGGCGGCAUGCUUUACACAUGCAAGUCGAACGGUAACAGGCCGCAAGGUGCUGACGAGUGGCGCACGGGUGAGUAAUGCAUCGGAACGUGCCCAGUCGUGGGGGAUAACUACUCGAAAGAGUAGCUAAUACCGCAUACGAUCUAUGGAUGAAAGCGGGGGACCGUAAGGCCUCGCGCGAUUGGAGCGGCCGAUGUCAGAUUAGGUAGUUGGUGGGGUAAAGGCUCACCAAGCCAACGAUCUGUAGCUGGUCUGAGAGGACGACCAGCCACACUGGGACUGAGACACGGCCCAGACUUCUACGGGAGGCAGCAGUGGGGAAUUUUGGACAAUGGGCGCAAGCCUGAUCCAGCAAUGCCGCGUGCAGGAAGAAGGCCUUCGGGUUGUAAACUGCUUUUGUACGGAACGAAACGGCUCUGGUUAAUACCCGGGGCUAAUGACGGUACCGGAAGAAUAAGCACCGGCUAACUACGUG